AAGAAUAUUGAAAUGUACUGUUGGCUGCGUUUUGGAUACAUGCUCCAUGAAAUAUUCAUAAUAAAGUUGGGCUUCAGUUCUGCAGUCAGUAGUGAUGCAUCAAACACUGUCUGCGUGUUUGCAAGAUCAGAGACUGCAUUUAUGCCCAGCAAGCCACAAACAGACAGCAGGCUAAACCUGCCACACUAAAAGUGCAGUGGCUGAUUGUGGCUCCUUACUUCUCAAGAUAAUUUAUAUGGGAUUUUUAACUAAAGAAAUAUCUAUCUGUACCAUAUUUUCAUCUUUAAACUGUAUUUAGUAUCAUUAAUGUGAUCAGAAAUGUCCACAAAAUUGCUCUAUUAAAAAAACAGAGUACCUAUACUAUAUCAUUUGGUAAACAUGAGUGAUGCUUUGUUCACUAAACUGCUCACUCCAGUCGAAGAGUCCAGAUCUGCGUUCAGAAGGCUUCAUCUUAGAAACUGCCUCCAAGAGGACCGCAGCCGGAUCCCUGAGGAGGACACGGUCCAUCACUACAUUGGCAAUACAAUAGGUGAGACUUUCUUUCACCAACAAGAACAUGGAAAUCUUGUACUUCAGUGCAAUCAGCCAGUUGCUAAAGAAAGUAAGAGAAUAGAUUGGUAUAAGACAGCAGACGAUAUGCAACAAUUUGAGUUAAUUAACUGCUCUUCCAAGUGUAAUCACUUGUGUACAGAAACAGUUUGCAAUGAAACCUUAGAGGUGGCACGAGUUUCAUCUGAUGGGAGGAUGUUUGCAUGUGGAGCACUUUCAAGUGAUGAAGAACCAAUGACUUCCCUACUAUUCAGCAAUGCGUCUCACUGCAGGCGCUAUAGCUUCUUUCUUGUACAGACUAAAACCGAAUCAGGGAAAAAGAGCUCAGGCAAUGUUCAGGAAAAAUCCCAAGUCUCUCUCAAAUUCAAAGAAACAGAUAACAUCACCCUGUCUUGUGAAUUUUACACUAACUGCUCAGGACACUGUUUUUUUAUGUACUGGAUCAGAGUCAGUAAAACAAGUGAAUGCCUUUUUUCUGCUGCGAAUGAAGCCCUGGCCCCAAGCUUGACUUUUAAUGAGCACUGCUGUGUUGAUCGCGACAUCCAGGAACGACUGCUGAACAAUACAAACUUCAAUUCCACUCACAAAAGACAUAACAUGACUAUCCUGAACGUCACGAGUGCUGACAGCGGGCAAUAUUUAUGCAUUGUUGCUGCCUGGCAACAUGGUAAACUUGAGUGGCAAGUUCCUACUAACCGGUCAGUGGAUGUUCAGAAAGACCAAACGGCACCUAUGCAGUGGCAUGUCAUCUCUGGAGCUGUAGCUGGGAUUAUUUUUCUCAAUGUGACAGUAGGACUGAUCUGUCUGAAGAUAUUCAAAUCAAAAGGGAAAAAAACAACCACACAAGUUACCAGAGAUCACGAUGCUAUUGGAAUGACAGAAGAUGAAUGUUCUCCAUAUGCAGUAAGUGGCAGCAGCGACAUGUACAGAAAUGAGAGCCUUUACUCCCGUGUAACAAGGACCUGCACGGAGCCAAAUGGGCCCUCUUCUAGCCCAGAUAACAGGGCUACUGGGGCAGGACAGGGAGCAGAUAUACGUACUGUCUAUGCACUGCUGAAUAAAUAG
RNAcentral lists this long non-coding RNA (1614 nucleotides) under Apteryx haastii (Great spotted kiwi). Its description in RNAcentral is "lncRNA (ENSAHAG00000012742.1)". The record is from RNAcentral. Lineage: Eukaryota; Metazoa; Chordata; Aves; Apterygiformes; Apterygidae.